Long non-coding RNA from Ictalurus punctatus (channel catfish), 2339 nucleotides. RefSeq lists it as uncharacterized. The transcript is spliced from 4 exons. The record is from RefSeq and is a predicted model, not a curated record. NCBI's taxonomy places the organism in Eukaryota, Metazoa, Chordata, Actinopteri, Siluriformes, Ictaluridae.
GGUCACGAGCACACAACAUUUGUUUAGUGACCCAUCAUCACAUGGCACAUGUCUGUGUUGCAUGCAUGCGUGGUUGUGUGUAUACGUCAGUCUAACACUUACCAAGUCUCAAACCCCUUUCAGCACUUACUCUAAUGUCAGACCUCUCACUAGCCUUGAUAUCAAGCAGGAUUACCCUCAAUGCAUCUGAUGCCUCCACAGAGUCCAGUGACAGUGGUCCAACCAUUUCGGUCUCAGGCUAAAAACACUGCUCGAUUAAGGUCAGGGACGUGCAGGUUCCUCCUCAUGUGAAUGACGGUAUUCUGGAAGGACUUCGGGUAAUGCACUUGUCCUUCCAAUGCUCUGACAACCGAGUGCUGAAAAGGGGAAGGGUAACUAUCGUCCAAUGUUUGGCUUUACCGUUGAUUUCCACUGGAACACCCAGCUAGCAGAAAACAUUAUUACAAGGUUCAUACUUUCCUUUCUUUCCACUGCUGAAGAACUCAUAAUUGAAAAACAGAUGGUGUGUUUCCAUGGGUAUGAAUUCAUCAGUUUGAUUUUACACUCUAAAAAUUGUUCAGUGGUUAAGAAUUUGGACUUCUGACUUCUGAAUUUCCUCAACCCUCUACUGCUCAGAUGUAUAAAUGGUUCGGGGUUCGAUUCCCACCGUGGUCCUGUGUGUGCGGAGUUUGCAUGUUCUCCCCGUGCUGCGGUGGUUUCCUCCGGGUACUCCGGUUUCCUCCCCCAGUCCAAAGAAAUGCAUGGUAGGCUGACUGUCAUGGCCAAAGUGUCCGUAGUGUAUGAAUGGGAAUGUGAUUGUGCCCUGCGAUGGAUUGGCACCCUGUCCAGGGUGUACCCCGCCUUGUGCCCCAUGCUUCCUGGGACAGGCUCCGGGUUUCCCCGUAACCCUGAAAAGAAUAAAGCGGUAUAGAAGAUGGAUAGAUGGGUGACCUAUUAUGUAAGCAGAUCUGGACACGCAGGGAACUUUUUAUCAACUUUUAUCUCUUCCUUAUUUCCCUGCUCACCGCCUGCCAACAUCAAGGCCUUGGUCACCCAGUUGGAUACAGUGAGGUACAACAAAGCAACAUCCCCAUUAACCUAUACACAGGUCUGAUAUAUAAUAUUAAACUAUAUCUACUCCAAUCACUCAGUACACAGAUAGUCUCAGUACAUUUAAAGUUAUAAAUAAUUGAUUUGUCCCAUAUAUAUAUAUUGCCUUGAUGUUUUGGGGACACAAAAAUAGAUAUCAAUGGUCUAGGGCCCCAAAUGUCACUUCUUCUAAGACCUACCAUGUCACCGCCAAUUACCCCCACUGAAAUUCCUCAAAUGGAUAAAGGAGUCCUAAAAGAACCCCAAGACCUUCCUGAGGAGUUCAGUAAAAACCAAAGCUGCCAAACUAUCUCUCUAUUGACCAUGGUUUUAAUAUGAGAAGCUUAUCACUGCCUGAAACUUGAGCAAUGAAGAUAUAAAUCAAGAAAACACCCAAGCUACGCUCUUAGAAAGAAAAAAAGAUUCAUCAGGAGUGUGUUAGAUAGAUAGGAUUCUUAUCUCUAUGAAUGACUUCUCGGGUUCUAUGGUUAUUUUUUAGUAUUCCCCCAUAGGGACAAACUGAAGAAUGCUUAAGGGUGAUGCUUAAAAAAUAUGAAACAUUUUCUACCUAAGAGUGUGUUACACAUGCACUUUUACAUCCCCAAUAAAACAAGGUAUUUUCAGUAUUCAAGGUCUGCAUUCCUUUUCUGAAAUAUCUCUAUACAAUAUGACAAUAUGUUUCCAAAGAAGGAUUUACAUAUUGCAUAUGUACAUAUAAUUUACAUUCAAUAGUACUUUAAGUUACUAUGAAUAUUUAGUGAUGACAUUUGGUGGGAUGAAUGCCCCCUAGUACGUCCAGUGCACUCAAUUCUAUGUCAAGUGCUCAUAUGUCUAAUGGAAAAUGACCUCAGUGUGAAACUUCAGAAAGGUCAAUUCCAUAACCCACCAUACUGCUUCUCAAAUAUAUUCUCAGCAUGCAGGGUGUACAAAUGAAACAUAGCAAAGUUAAAUUUAAGUUUUAAGUGGUCUUUUGCUAUUGAGGUGUGUGGUGUCAUCAUGCCAAAAUCUAAAGAGUUCUGUAAGGCCUUCAGAAAAAAAGUUGUGAAUGCCUAUGAGUGGUGCAGAUUUCAGGACUGGCCAACACCACAAAUUCAGCCCAACAGCAGACUGUCUGAUGUAAAAAGAAGUCUCUAAGAACCCCAAAAUUUCAUCACAUUACCUGCUAUUAAGUCGUGCAGCUGUUGGUGUCAAAGUGCAGGCUUCUACAAUCAGAGACUGCACAAAUUUGACCUGCAUGGGGGGCGUUCCAGGAAAAAGCCUUUGCAAGACUA